CCCCCCCUCCCCAGAGCCGAGGGACAGACAGAGAAUUGCAACUAGAAAUUCGAUCUAUUGGUACGAGACACCACGUGCUCGCGGGCUGGCCAAUGACCAGGACGCCCGGGAUGAGCUAAUAAUGGAAGCAAUUUGUAACUUUCAGUAGCUCUCUAGGCCUAGGUACCGGUGGGAGGGAGGCUGGCGGAGGGGGGGACAGCACCCCCAGUUUUUCUGCCCAGCUUGUUUGUCUGGGGAAACUCGGAGCCCCUGGCCCUCCUUUUCCCUUACGAGCAAUCUCGAGCAGAGUUCUUCGUUCACUCCUGACCGGACACACAGCCAGAUUCCUCCAUCUCAGAAGUCACACCUUCCAUAAUUCUCAGCUUUAAAUCAGCCCGCCCCCAGCCUCAGAGGGGUGCCUGGGAAGAAGAAUCAAGACUGACCUAUUCCUACACUGUCCCAACUGGGGACACCCCCAUCUGUUUCCAAAGUCAGCUGAGAUAGAACUCCCGGAAAAGAAAUACAAUGUUUACUUUCACUUUACUUUUGAUCAAGCUGGUUUCUCCAGUGGUGGGGGAAUCCUUUUGUGUUUGUUUGUUUUUUUUUAGACAACAUCUUACUAUGUAGCCUUGUCUGGCCUGAAAGUCAACUAUGUAGACCAGGCUGACUUCCAACUCUGAGCUCCACUUGCCUGUGCCUACCAAGUGCUGGGAUUAAAAGUCUGUGCCGUCA
Long non-coding RNA from Rattus norvegicus (Norway rat), 711 nucleotides. RefSeq lists it as uncharacterized. The record is from RefSeq and is a predicted model, not a curated record. Lineage: Eukaryota; Metazoa; Chordata; Mammalia; Rodentia; Muridae.